Molecule: long non-coding RNA, 323 nt
Organism: Alosa alosa (allis shad)
Lineage: Eukaryota; Metazoa; Chordata; Actinopteri; Clupeiformes; Clupeidae
Exons: 3
Source: RefSeq, a predicted model, not a curated record
UUAAAGCCAAACAAUUAUUUUGUAGAUGUGACCACCAUAUCCACAAAUGCUUCUCCUACAUCUGCAAUUGUGCACACCUCAACAGUCUCGACUAACCCUUGCGGUGACGUCCACUGCACUGAAGAUGAGGUAUGUGGGGAAGUAUAUGGAAUCUAUGGCUGCUUGUGCAAGAGCCAUCACCAACCUAUCCCAGAGUCAUUUGGAUUAGUUGCCACAUGCCACAAUAGCUCCUGCUGGAUUUCACUGUCCCGCUGCCUCCUCUUUGAGGCUGGCUUUCCUGCUCAUGUUCUACACCUCAACGAUCCAGGCUGCACAGGCACAGU